RNAcentral lists this ribosomal RNA (388 nucleotides) under uncultured eukaryote. Its description in RNAcentral is "partial 18S ribosomal RNA". It matches the Rfam family "Eukaryotic small subunit ribosomal RNA", at positions 592 to 976 of the family's 1831-position model. The record is from RNAcentral.
CAAUAGCGUAUAUUAAAGUUGUUGCAGUUAAAAAGCUCGUAGUUGGAUUUCUGAUCGAGGCAUCAGGUCGGGUCCGAGAGGAUCAUGUACUUUGAUUUUGUUUUGAUCAUCCUUGGGGAGAGCAUUUCUGGCAUUCAGUUGUCGGGAUUGGGAUCCUCAUCGUUUACUGUGAAAAAAUUAGAGUGUUCAAAGCAGGCCUCGGCCUCUGAAUACAUUAGCAUGGAAUAAUAAGAUAGGACUUUGGUGGUCUAUUUUGUUGGUUUGCACGCCAAAGUAAUGAUUAAUAGGGAUAGUUGGGGGUAUUCGUAUUCAAUUGUCAGAGGUGAAAUUCUUGGAUUUAUGGAAGACGAACUACUGCGAAAGCAUUUACCAAGGAUGUUUUCAUUAA